Trifolium pratense (red clover) is the source of this 443-nucleotide long non-coding RNA. RefSeq lists it as uncharacterized. The record is from RefSeq and is a predicted model, not a curated record. The transcript has 2 exons. NCBI's taxonomy places the organism in Eukaryota, Viridiplantae, Streptophyta, Magnoliopsida, Fabales, Fabaceae.
UUGAAACAAAUAAACAAGACAUAAUACUUUUACUACAUAUAUAAUACAUAAAGUGACCAAUAUAUACAUUUGCAAACUUUGGAGAAAAAAUAUGGCUGAAAUUUUUAAAUUUGUUUAUUUAAUAAUCCUCUUUAUUUCCUUAUUUCUUGUCAUAAUUGACGUAACUGCAACAAGGACCUUGAUAAGUUGCAAGGAGAAUAUUGAUUGUUCCAAGUGGUUUUGUAUAUAUCCUUUGGUUCCAAAAUGCAUUUCUUUUAAAUGUAAGUGUGGAUUAUAAGUAAACUCGAUCGAUUGUAAAAGAUUCAUAUUGUAAUUUCAAUGGACGGAGUUAAAAAUUUUAUUUGAGAUAUUAUUCUCUUUAGUUGAUGUACUCUACCGUGGAAAAGAAUUUACUCAAAAAAACAAUAUGGAAGUAGUUGAAAUAAUAUUAUAUUUUAUUUAUA